AGCGAACGUUGGCGGCAGGCUUAACACAUGCAAGUCGAGCGCCCCGCAAGGGGAGCGGCAGACGGGUGAGUAACACGUGGGAACGUGCCUUUUGGUUCGGAACAACCCAGGGAAACUUGGGCUAAUACCGGAUAAGCCCUUACGGGGAAAGAUUUAUCGCCAAAAGAUCGGCCCGCGUCUGAUUAGCUAGUUGGUGGGGUAAUGGCCCACCAAGGCUACGAUCAGUAGCUGGUCUGAGAGGAUGAUCAGCCACAUUGGGACUGAGACACGGCCCAAACUCCUACGGGAGGCAGCAGUGGGGAAUAUUGGACAAUGGGGGCAACCCUGAUCCAGCCAUGCCGCGUGAGUGAUGAAGGCCUUAGGGUUGUAAAGCUCUUUUAGCAGGGAAGAUAAUGACGGUACCUGCAGAAAAAGCCCCGGCUAACUUCGUGCCAGCAGCCGCCGCGG
RNAcentral lists this ribosomal RNA (447 nucleotides) under uncultured bacterium. RNAcentral's name for it is "partial 16S ribosomal RNA". It matches the Rfam family "Bacterial small subunit ribosomal RNA", at positions 29 to 523 of the family's 1533-position model. The record is from RNAcentral.